This 253-nucleotide ribosomal RNA is filed under the name uncultured bacterium. RNAcentral describes it as "partial 16S ribosomal RNA". It matches the Rfam family "Bacterial small subunit ribosomal RNA", at positions 524 to 776 of the family's 1533-position model. The record is from RNAcentral.
UACGUAGGGGGCUAGCGUUGUCCGGAAUCAUUGGGCGUAAAGCGCGCGUAGGCGGCCCUGUUAGUCCGCUGUAAAAGUCAAAGGCUCAACCUUUGAAUGCCGGUGGAUACUGCAGGGCUAGAGUCCGGAAGAGGCGAGUGGAACUCCUGGUGUAGCGGUGGAAUGCGCAGAUAUCAGGAAGAACACCGGUGGCGAAGGCGGAUCUCUGGGCCUUACCUGACGCUCAGGCGCGAAAGCUAGGGGAGCGAACAGG